CCGGCGUUGACGCCGUUUUACCGCCGCAGAUGUCACCGCCGGCGCCUCCAUGGUGCCUCCCCGGCUUCAACUCCGCCAGAUCCCGCACCACCAUGAAGAUCUCCGCCUUUGCCUGGUUCAAAAGGUUGCGUGACAUGGACUUGACACGAUCAGAGAUGUAGCAUAGUGAUCCAGCGCCUAUUGGGCCUAGGCCCAUGUUCCCGCCAGCUUCUUCGACGCUGAGCGUGCGGCAGGCCUCUAUCCGCUGCUCAG
Non-coding RNA from Lolium perenne, 252 nucleotides. NCBI's taxonomy places the organism in Eukaryota, Viridiplantae, Streptophyta, Magnoliopsida, Poales, Poaceae. The record is from RefSeq and is a predicted model, not a curated record.